Long non-coding RNA from Arabidopsis thaliana (thale cress), 501 nucleotides. RefSeq annotates it as other RNA. The record is from RefSeq. The transcript has 2 exons. Lineage: Eukaryota; Viridiplantae; Streptophyta; Magnoliopsida; Brassicales; Brassicaceae.
GAGCUUUCUCACCUGUGCCCUCAGCCCUCAAGACUUCGCCAGACCUUGAUUUUCGAUUGAAGAUAAUCGUUGCUUCGCUAUCCCGAUACCAAAAUGGGAAGAUCUCCCUUCUGGGUUGGUAGAUGAAUUGUUCUGGGUAACAGGCGGUGGACAUCUUCGUUGACAGAUCUGAGUUAUCGACUUGGUCAUAUGCCCUAAAGUUACCCUAAGCCCUCGGGGCUCCAUCCGAACCUGUGACUCAACCUUCUCUUUAGCGGAGGAGAAUAGUUCCGAGUGAGUGUGCUCCCGAACCAACGAUUUGUAUACUCUUUGCCCCAGGCACCAGGAUAAUUCGAGGUGGAUAGCCCUGACUGACAGGGGACUAAGAUUAGGAAGCAUCCACAAGAGCGAAAGAGCCCUUUUAUGUUUGUUUCGCUAAUCUUAUAGAUUGGAAGUUUGCCCAGCACAGAGUAGUAGGGUUAUGCUUUCGAAAGUCUUUUCAGAGUAUAAGGGAGGUCCAUC